CCCUGCCCCAAACAAUGCCGCCCGCUCCUCUCCGUGCCGCUCCCACUUGCUGGUGGCGGAUGCGGGUGUCUGGGGCACUUUUCUGCUGAGAGUUGCUUUUAGGCACGUAAUCUGUGGGUUUUAUUUAUUGUUUCCCUCCCAGUCAGGUUGCCCUCCUAGAUUCAAACACUUCCCCCAGGCCCGCCGGUGCGAGGGUUUCCUGGUGUCUGGAAACGUCCUCUAAAGACUCGCUUCCCGGACGGAUCUCCGUCCUUAGCUCUUUUGUCUCACUUUUUAUCUUUUAUAUUUUGUCCUACCUCCUUUCGAAGACAAUGGGCUGCUUUUCUGGGCGCCUGAUGACCUCAGCUAGCGAUCAGAAGUUGUUUUGUGAAGUUUGCUCUGCGUUCAGAUAUUCUUUUGAUGAAUUUGUAGGAGAGAAAGUGGUCUCCCCGUCCUACUCCUCCGCCAUCUUGGCUCCUCCUCCGUUUGCUCCUGGAUGCAGACACAUGACAUCUGUUGCCCUGGCACCUGUCAAGUACUGGCCACUCAGCAAAUGUUUGUUGGAGAAUCAAGGACAAAUGAGCAACACCUGGCACAUCCCCGUCCCUAAGGCCCAACCGUGCCAAGACCUCCACCCUGAAAUGAGAUGGAAAAGAAGAUCAGGGAAACAGAGCACAACAUACAUCAGAGCGCGGGGAGAGAGACCAAGUCCCUGAAACCUGAGGAUCCUUUUCCAAAAGCUCACCUGCGUCCUGGAAGUACCAUCCUACAAACAGUCCUUUGAGAACUGACAAACAGCUCAUUGAUUCCAGGAGGGAUCAUAGGUGUUUCUAAAACAGGCUACCCCACAUUGCUAAUUCAUUGAUAAAGGCCCUAUAUCAGGUGGUGCUGGG
Dama dama (fallow deer) is the source of this 872-nucleotide long non-coding RNA. RefSeq lists it as uncharacterized. The record is from RefSeq and is a predicted model, not a curated record. Lineage: Eukaryota; Metazoa; Chordata; Mammalia; Artiodactyla; Cervidae. The transcript is spliced from 3 exons.